CUGGCGGCGNGUCCAAUCAUGCGAGAAGAGCGAAUCAUUAGGAGCUUGCUCCUGAUGAUUAGCGGUUUAUCGGUGAGUAACACGUGGGCAACCUGCCUGUAAGACUGGGAUAACACCGGGAAACCGGUGCUAAUACCGGAUAAUUCUUUACCUCUCAUGAGGUGAAGCUGAAAGUCGGUUUCGGCUGACACUUACAGAUGGGCCCGCGGCGCAUUAGCUAGUUGGUGAGGUAACGGCUCACCAAGGCGACGAUGCGUAGCCGACCUGAGAGGACGAUCAGCCACACUGGGACUGAGACACGGCCCAGACUCCUACGGGAGGCAGCAGUGGG
RNAcentral lists this ribosomal RNA (331 nucleotides) under uncultured Bacillus sp. Its description in RNAcentral is "bacterial SSU rRNA". It matches the Rfam family "Bacterial small subunit ribosomal RNA", at positions 36 to 358 of the family's 1533-position model. The record is from RNAcentral. Lineage: Bacteria; Bacillati; Bacillota; Bacilli; Caryophanales; Bacillaceae.